AGUACUAACACACCAGAGGAAGGCUCUGGUUCAGAGCUGUGUUCUUCUAUGCGUAUUACCAGCAGGGAGCUGUUUUCUGUUGAGUGUUGAGGAACUGCAUGGAAAUGUCAGAGUGAGUCGCCACAUGGGAUCUCCUAGAGAUAUCUCCUUCAGAAGACCUUCUUGAGUUUCAUUUUUUCCUUGACACCUGUAAGCCACUGGCCAACCAAAAAUGGAUUAAUAGACACACACAUCACACACAU
RNAcentral lists this long non-coding RNA (242 nucleotides) under Crocodylus porosus (Australian saltwater crocodile). Its description in RNAcentral is "lncRNA (ENSCPRG00005002645.1)". Lineage: Eukaryota; Metazoa; Chordata; Crocodylia; Crocodylidae. The record is from RNAcentral.